UGCCAGCAGCCGCGGUAAUACGGAGGGUGCAAGCGUUGUUCGGAAUUACUGGGCGUAAAGCGCGCGUAGGCGGCUAAAUUAGUCAGAUGUGAAAGUCCACGGCUCAACCGUGGAAGUGCAUUUGAAACUGUUUAGCUUGAGUACUGGAGGGGGUGGUGGAAUUCCCGGUGUAGAGGUGAAAUUCGUAGAUAUCGGGAGGAAUACCGGUGGCGAAGGCGACCACCUGGCCAGAUACUGACGCUGAGGUGCGAAAGCGUGGGGAGCAAACAGGAUUAGAUA
Molecule: ribosomal RNA, 279 nt
Filed under: uncultured bacterium
Lineage: Bacteria
Description: partial 16S ribosomal RNA
Rfam family: Bacterial small subunit ribosomal RNA
Source: RNAcentral